UCGUCAGUGAGGUACAUCCUUACCUGUUCCCAGCCGGGGGCAGCACGUGAUGAUUGGAAAGCGCAUGAGACGUGAUUAGAGUCUCCGCAGCCGUGGUUUGCAAUGCCGCGGCCCGCUCCUGUCUGAU
RNAcentral lists this small nucleolar RNA (127 nucleotides) under Chelonia mydas (Green sea turtle). RNAcentral describes it as "U8 small nucleolar RNA". It matches the Rfam family "U8 small nucleolar RNA". Rfam says of the family: U8 is a member of the C/D class of snoRNA which contain the C (UGAUGA) and D (CUGA) box motifs. U8 is the RNA component of a small complex (the U8 snoRNP) which is required for accumulation of mature large subunit ribosomal RNAs, 5.8S and 28S rRNAs. U8 RNA has been identified in human, mouse, rat and Xenopus. The record is from Rfam by way of RNAcentral. Lineage: Eukaryota; Metazoa; Chordata; Testudines; Cheloniidae.